This 222-nucleotide ribosomal RNA is filed under the name Triticum aestivum (bread wheat). RNAcentral's name for it is "partial small subunit ribosomal RNA". The record is from RNAcentral. Lineage: Eukaryota; Viridiplantae; Streptophyta; Magnoliopsida; Poales; Poaceae.
AUGGCUUUUUUAUUUCCCAAGAAAAGUAUAUCCAGGAUCUUCUUGCUCGUGCGGCUCUUAGUGAUGAGCGCACUGUUGAGACUCCUAUGGAGCUUAAUGUUCACCUUCGUGCUACUGAUGGUGAGCCCUUGUCCGAUCCGACUCGUUAUCGUCAUCUUGUUGGGAGUCUUGUCUAUCUCGCUGUCACUCGUCCGGAUAUCUCCUAUCCUGUCCAUAUCCUGA